RNAcentral lists this telomerase RNA (1459 nucleotides) under Hirsutella minnesotensis 3608. Its description in RNAcentral is "Ascomycota telomerase RNA". It matches the Rfam family "Ascomycota telomerase RNA", at positions 205 to 1858 of the family's 1858-position model. The record is from Rfam by way of RNAcentral. Lineage: Eukaryota; Fungi; Ascomycota; Sordariomycetes; Hypocreales; Ophiocordycipitaceae.
UCAUUUGCACGUCGCCUCCCAGUUUACCGGCCUUGAUUCCGCAAGGAAUGCCUGUUACAGGGCCCCCAUCCCAGGCUCGUGAACACGGUUUGCCGCUCUCGAGCCUGUAUCAGGACCUCGCUGCAUGCCGCAUUUGGACCAACUGCUGUUCUUCGCCAUCACGCAGUGGAUGGUACGACCUGGAUGGAGGCUGAGGCCGGGACUCUAACCCUAAGACGAUAUCUGGUUCGAGUUUGCGCCAAGCUGUUCAAGCCGCCUUUUAAGUUUGCCGAGCACCUCAGGAAGCUGCUCCCGCUGAAAAGUGGGAUGGCUGACCUGUGCUGCCGGCGGAUGGACUGGCGGGGAGAACUUUCCAGUCACCUCUGGGUGCGCAAGAGGAAGGAUGCCAUGAGUCGCUCGAUCAGAGCGUGUAAGAUUCUCUUAGAGGACGCUCGUCUGCCCUUUCGCUGGAACUCGGGCGUUGGCCAACAGUAGACCGCCUCACGGACGCUGCUGUUUCUCCAUUGACAGGGCUUGCUGUCUGUCGUGGACGGACCUUCAGGUCGUACAUUACGCCUCGGUCACCGCUUGGGCGGAGAGAGAUGAGUACCGGACGGCCUUCAUACUAUCAGAGCACGCGUUUCCAAACAUGCAAUCAGAGUCAUACCUUGUCGGAAUCACCUUUGAGGUGUAGCGAGGAUCUCUCGAUCACACACAGAAAUGCACCUCAUGCCUGAUUUUCUUGCCGCUCCGGGAACUCUCGGUACUCUCGAAGCCCAGAAAGUGAUCUUUUGUCUGUCCAUGGCAGGCUUUGGCGAGCCCUGUCAACAUACGGCAUGCUCCUGACGCCUCAUCCCGGUUCCUAACCACCGAUGUGUGACACUUUCCGUCAGGUCUGGCCAGGCGCAUUAACCUCUCUCAUCUGUAGAAGGAUGAUGAAGGGACGCCAGCUUUCCGUUUGAUGUCCUUGGUGAUGUCGACGGAUUCCUCGGCUUUCUUGCAAAGGAAAGUCGAGACGACAGCGCGGUUUUUAUGGACGUCUUUGUUCGCGCGAAAUGCCCUCCUUGCUUACUCUUCACGGGGCACGGUGGAGAGGAAACAAAAUCAAGUUCCUGUUGGCAGUGCACUACACACAGAAGGAGGUCCGAUUUUCAGGAUUGCCGGCCGACUCGGGGCGCUGUCGAUGAAAGCCCCGGUGCUACGCCUGUGUUGGCGGAAGGUGGACGACGAGAGCUUCCGUUACGCCGGUUGUUCCGGUUUGCCGUCCAGUCCCAAGCAGACCGGGACCCAUCUCGAGUUGGCGUCAAAGUUUCGCACUUGUCCGGCGCUGCCCACUACUGGUCCAAACGACAAAUCGGCAACUGUGCAAGACGAUCUCGACUCCAAAAUCGGCCAUCAGCUUUUAGGGGCAGGCCUUAUUGGUAGCCCCGGUUGCCCUUGUGCCAGAAAUGGUGGGAGGGCAACCCCCCGGUUUACGAGG